Molecule: ribosomal RNA, 232 nt
Filed under: uncultured bacterium
Lineage: Bacteria
Description: partial 16S ribosomal RNA
Rfam family: Bacterial small subunit ribosomal RNA
Source: RNAcentral
AGAGUUUGAUCAUGGCUCAGGAUGAACGCUGGCGGCGUGCUUAACACAUGCAAGUCGGAACGGAGACAUAUUUUGAAGUUUUCGGAUGGAAAGAUAUGUUCUUAGUGGCGGACGGGUGAGUAAUGUAUGAGCAACCUACCGUUUAAGAGGGGGACAACAGUUGGAAACGACUGCUAAUACCGCAUAAUGCGAAUUUGCCGCAUGGCAGAUUUUGUCAAAGGGAGCAAUCCGC